GCUCUGGGACUGGAGCCUUCUAAGCCUUCCUGCCCCUUCCCCUAGAUAGCUGAGCUUUUUCUGUACGAACUAAACGGAAUGCUGGACAUUGGAAAUAAUUCUACUCAAAAGCAUGAGUUGCCUUUUCUCAUUGUAUUUGCCUCUCAGAAGGUUUUCUUGUAGAUGGAUUUAUGGAAGUGACUUUCUUCUCUGGCCCGGCGAGAGAACUGCUUUCUGGUUUACAGAACUUGGGUGUAGUGAGAAUCCUCCCUUCCACCAGCACUGAAGAAGCACUUCCUCUGAAAGAAGAUUCUGGAAAUGUAGUGGAAGACCUUGCUACCUCACAUCUACCACCUUGUCUACCUCGUACCUCCUCGGGAGUGCCUGGUGGAGACAUGUGGAAAAGAGCUGGAAAGUGAGAAUAGAAUCCCAUUUAUCCACAGUAGCUCAACUAUAGUUAUUAAGGAGUUAUAAUACUGUUCACUGCUUCUGCCUGUGGUGUCUAUUUCUUCCCUCUUUGUCAAAGCCACUUUCAGGUGCCUUAGCCUCUUCCAGAUCCAAGCUUUCUGACUGACGUGUUUAAGAAAGUGAAAUAAAAGUUUGUAGACUACCCU
Molecule: long non-coding RNA, 593 nt
Organism: Mus musculus (house mouse)
Lineage: Eukaryota; Metazoa; Chordata; Mammalia; Rodentia; Muridae
Product: RIKEN cDNA 1700016G22 gene
Exons: 3
Source: RefSeq, marked validated